This 1763-nucleotide long non-coding RNA is filed under the name Mus musculus (house mouse). RNAcentral describes it as "long non-coding RNA chr1:121504694-121506457". Lineage: Eukaryota; Metazoa; Chordata; Mammalia; Rodentia; Muridae. The record is from RNAcentral.
GAAGAGUCAAUGCCUUCUGAGAUGCAUCUUAGAGUUUUCCAUGCUCUUCCUUCUAGCAGCAGGUGGCACUGGGCCAAAAUAGUAUGUAAAACAUAAUGGAGGGCCAGGGAGAUGUCCCAGUCGGUAAAGCACGAGAACCUGAGUUAGGAUCCCCAGCAUCAAGGCCACACAUAGCAGUGUGCUCUUGUAUUCCCAGCCCGUGAGAGGAAGACCAAAAGGACCCCUGGGGCUCACUGACCAGCCAGGCCAGCUGAGUUAGUAAGCUUCAAUUCAGUGAGAAAACCUGUCUCAUAAAAUUAGGUGGAGAGCAAUGUAGGUGGCAUCUGAGUUGACCUCUGACCUUCAUAUGCACAGGCACAUACAUAUACAUGCACACACAUCCCCAUACACAUAAAGGAACAUUCAUAUACAAAAAAUAUGCAUGUUUUUCUUCUCAGAAUAACUAUGUAUAAGAUCAUGAGCAGGGCUCUAGUGCCUCAUUGGCAGUGUGUUUGACACCAUGGGGAGUCGCAGCUUCUGUAUCAUCAUCGGCCUGUAUCAAUUUCCCAGAUGGCCACGCUCACCCUUCAUUGAUACUCUCUUCAUGUGUCUGUCCUCUCCACGAUUUUGGAUGAUGUCAUCACAAUGAUCUCCUGGUCAUAUCACAGUCCACUCGUCACAUUCCUGUUGUCUGUCUUAAUGACACAUGUCACUGCUUAAGUUUCCUGAUCCAUCACAAGGUCUACAUCUCUUUUCUUUGGAAUGUGUAAGGGCAGCGGAUGCAGGGACCCUACCCACCUCACUGUGGCUCAUCAGACAGUCAGAACAUUCCAGUUGGUUAAGUUGGCUCCCCAAACUGUUAUCUUUGCAUCCUAUAGUAGCAAAAUAUAGAUCUAACCUAACCUAUGCUCAGGUUUAAACAGGCUGCCAGUUCUAGUCAGCAGCACUAGAGAAGCCCUCUUAAGUCCAUUAGUCACUAACCUUGAAGGAUGGAAUGGAAAAGGAGUUUCCCAGAAGUUUCCAGACUUUAACUACAAGGUCACCUUUUGGAGAUGUGUAGUAUUGCGGCAGGGAAGGCACAUUAAUGUCGAAUAGGGUCAUUAGUGUGUUCUUCCUUCAGAUGUGGUGGACGGAUCUUAGCUGCGUGAUUGAAGAAAAUGGGUGUUGCUGUAGAACAGCAUGCCAUGCAGUGAAUGGCAGAGCUCUAAGCUUACAGCCGCCUUGGAGGACAAUUGAAUAGCAUCACGAAUCCAAUGUACCGCCUUUUCAACCAGCAGUGCCACAUAUAGGAACUUUUCUUAUGUACAGAAACUUUUAUUAAAGUAACGUUUGUAAUAACAAAAGGUUAGAAACUACCAUUAAUUCAGAACAGAGGUGAAAAAAUAUCAUGGCCCAUAUCUACAAUGGGGCAUUUUGCAGACACUUAAAAGAAUAGACCUGCUCUGUGUAUUGCCAAGGAACGUUCAAGGGAUCUUGGAGCCACAUGGUUAAGUGGGGGAAGAAAACAUGCAUGAACAUGCAUGAAGUGCUAGUGUUUGGAAUAGAGAUAAAUACAUGUAAAUGUGUGGAUGCAUAUGUGUGUGCGCGCAUAUACUCACACAUAUGCUUGUGAUACGUCUGCUUGCCUGUUCCCAGACUGUCUCUGAGAAGUGACACAGCAGCCUGGCAGCCUCAGUUGCCGCCUAGAAGAAGGUGGAAAUGACUUUUCACCGUUUGCCUUUUGUACUCUGGAAUUUUGUACCGUGUACAUGCAUUAUCUACUCAAAUAAAUAGUUUUUGAAGUU